GUGCUCGCUUCGGCAGCACAUAUAUUAAAUUUGGAAUGAUACAGAGAAGAUUAGCAAGGCCCCUGUGCAAGGAUGACACGAAAAUUCAUAAAGUGUUUCAUAUUUUU
RNAcentral lists this small nuclear RNA (107 nucleotides) under Myotis brandtii (Brandt's bat). The record is from RNAcentral. Lineage: Eukaryota; Metazoa; Chordata; Mammalia; Chiroptera; Vespertilionidae.